Molecule: ribosomal RNA, 465 nt
Filed under: uncultured bacterium
Lineage: Bacteria
Description: partial 16S ribosomal RNA
Rfam family: Bacterial small subunit ribosomal RNA
Source: RNAcentral
CCUACGGGCGGCAGCAGUAGGGAAUCUUCCACAAUGGGCGAAAGCCUGAUGGAGCAACGCCGCGUGGGUGAAGAAGGUCUUCGGAUCGUAAAACCCUGUUGUUAGAGAAGAAAGUGCGUGAGAGUAACUGUUCACGUUUCGACUGUAUCUAACCAGCAAGCCACGGCUAACUACGUGCCAGCAGCCGCGGUAAUACGUCGGUGGCAAGCGUUAUCCGGAUUUAUUGGGCGUAAAGGGAACGCAGGCGGUCUUUUAAGUCUGAUGUGAAAGCCUUCGGCUUAACCGGAGUAGUGCAUUGGAAACUGGGAGACUGGAGUGCAGAAGAGGAGAGUGGAACUCCAUGUGUAGCGGUGAAAUGCGUAGAUAUAUGGAAGAACACCAGUGGCGAAGGCGGCUCUCUGGUCUGUAACUGACGCUGAGGUUCGAAAGCGUGGGUAGCAAACAGGAUUAGAUACCCCAGUAGUC